GAUGAACGCUAGCGAUAGGCUUAACACAUGCAAGUCGAGGGGCAGCAUGAUCUUAGCUUGCUAAGGUCGAUGGCGACCGGCGCACGGGUGCGUAACGCGUAUGCAACUUGCCUUACAGAGGGGGAUAACCCGUUGAAAGACGGACUAAAACCGCAUACACUUGUAUUAUUGCAUGAUAUUACAAGGAAAUAUUUAUAGCUGUAAGAUAGGCAUGCGUCCCAUUAGCUGGUUGGUGAGGUAACGGCUCACCAAGGCGACGAUGGGUAGGGGAACUGAGAGGUUUAUCCCCCACACUGGUACUGAGACACGGACCAGACUCCUACGGGAGGCAGCAGUGAGGAAUAUUGGUCAAUGGGCGAGAGCCUGAACCAGCCAAGUCGCGUGAAGGAAGACAGUCCUAAGGAUUGUAAACUUCUUUUAUACGGGAAUAAA
RNAcentral lists this ribosomal RNA (432 nucleotides) under Porphyromonas gingivalis. RNAcentral's name for it is "bacterial SSU rRNA". It matches the Rfam family "Bacterial small subunit ribosomal RNA", at positions 28 to 450 of the family's 1533-position model. Lineage: Bacteria; Pseudomonadati; Bacteroidota; Bacteroidia; Bacteroidales; Porphyromonadaceae. The record is from RNAcentral.